RNAcentral lists this ribosomal RNA (478 nucleotides) under uncultured bacterium. Its description in RNAcentral is "partial 16S ribosomal RNA". It matches the Rfam family "Bacterial small subunit ribosomal RNA", at positions 28 to 523 of the family's 1533-position model. The record is from RNAcentral.
GACGAACGCUGGCGGCGUGCUUAACACAUGCAAGUCGAACGGUAAGGCCCUUCGGGGUACACGAGUGGCGAACGGGUGAGUAACACGUGGGUGAUCUGCCCUGCACUUCGGGAUAAGCCUGGGAAACUGGGUCUAAUACCGGAUAGGACCACUGCCUGCAUGGGUGGAGGUGGAAAGCUUUUGAGGUGUGGGAUGGGCCCGCGGCCUAUCAGCUUGUUGGUGGGGUAAUGGCCUACCAAGGCGACGACGGGUAGCCGGCCUGAGAGGGUGACCGGCCACACUGGGACUGAGAUACGGCCCAGACUCCUACGGGAGGCAGCAGUGGGGAAUAUUGCACAAUGGGCGCAAGCCUGAUGCAGCGACGCCGCGUGAGGGAUGACGGCCUUCGGGUUGUAAACCUCUUUCAGUAGGGACGAAGCGCAAGUGACGGUACCUACAGAAGAAGGACCGGCCAACUACGUGCCAGCCGCCGCAGUAA